UACGUAGGCAGCAAGCGUUGUUCGGAGUUACUGGGCGUAAAGGGUGUGUAGGCGGUUGCUUAAGUUUGGUGUGAAAUCUCCCGGCUCAACUGGGAGGGUGCGCCGAAUACUGAGUGACUCGAGUGCGGGAGAGGAAAGUGGAAUUCCUGGUGUAGCGGUGAGAUGCGUAGAUAUCAGGAGGAACAUCGGUGGUGUAGACGGCUUUCUGGACCGUAACUGACGCUGAGACGCGAAAGCGUGGGGAGCAAACAGG
Molecule: ribosomal RNA, 253 nt
Filed under: uncultured bacterium
Lineage: Bacteria
Description: partial 16S ribosomal RNA
Rfam family: Bacterial small subunit ribosomal RNA
Source: RNAcentral